AUUCGCAGCUUAUAAGGCGCGCU
This 23-nucleotide unclassified non-coding RNA is filed under the name Chlamydomonas reinhardtii. RNAcentral's name for it is "small RNA Cre_0806". The record is from RNAcentral. Lineage: Eukaryota; Viridiplantae; Chlorophyta; Chlorophyceae; Chlamydomonadales; Chlamydomonadaceae.